AACAGGACAUAUAAGGGUAUAUGUGUGGAUGCCUCGACAUGAUGUGGCGAUGAAGGACGCGGCGUGACUGCGAUAAGCCUCGGGGAGCCGUCGAGCAGGCGUUGAUCCGGGGAUUUCCGAAUGGGGAAACCCAGUGCGGCAAACCCGCAUUAUCCGCCCAGAUUUUUGGACUUUUAAAUUUAAGUAGGGAGUUCCACACGGGAACUCCCUACAGCUACGAUGACUACUCGCGUUCGAGAACGAAUAUGAGCGUGGUAUGAACUACAGUGCUGGGAUGCCCCUCUUGUGCUUUCACUGGAUAAGCUACUACAGAGGGAGGGGUAACUGAGACGACCCUGUAACCUUCCGCGAGAAGCGAAGAGACCAUGUCGUCAACCCUGUCCUGGAGAGUAAAAUCGUAGCUCGUAGUGUGCACGACUGUUAUAACCUCCUGUGUUGGCAUGUUUCUCUCCUUUCAUUGGUUUGUGUUUUAACACCCCAACAACACUCUAAAUAAAGUAGAGCAUUACUAGAUUUAUUUGUCAAGAGUCCAAAAAUCUGGGCGGAGGCGAACCCGCUGAAGUGAAACAUCUCAGUAAGCGGAGGAAAAGAGAACAAUCGUUUAUUCCCUGAGUAGCGGCGAGCGAAACGGGAAGAGCCCAAACC
RNAcentral lists this ribosomal RNA (645 nucleotides) under bacterium. RNAcentral describes it as "partial 23S ribosomal RNA". It matches the Rfam family "Bacterial large subunit ribosomal RNA", at positions 1 to 275 of the family's 2925-position model. The record is from RNAcentral.